Molecule: ribosomal RNA, 253 nt
Filed under: uncultured bacterium
Lineage: Bacteria
Description: partial 16S ribosomal RNA
Rfam family: Bacterial small subunit ribosomal RNA
Source: RNAcentral
UACGUAGGUGGCAAGCGUUAUCCGUAUUUAUUGGGCGUAAAGGGAACGCAGGCGGUCUUUUAAGUCUGAUGUGAAAGCCUUCGGCUUAACCGGAGUAGUGCAUUGGAAACUGGGAGACUUGAGUGCAGAAGAGGAGAGUGGAACUCCAUGUGUAGCGGUGAAAUGCGUAGAUAUAUGGAAGAACACCAGUGGCGAAAGCGGCUCUCUGGUCUGUAACUGACGCUGAGGUUCGAAAGCGUGGGUAGCAAACAGG